CGGACGGGUGAGUAACACGUGGAUAACCUACCUAUAAGACUGGGAUAACUUCGGGAAACCGGAGCUAAUACCGGAUAAUAUAUUGAACCGCAUGGUUCAAUAGUGAAAGACGGUUUUGCUGUCACUUAUAGAUUGAUCCGCGCCGCAUUAGCUAGUUGGUAAGGUAAUGGCUUACCAAGGCAACGAUGCGUAGCCGACCUGAGAGGGUGAUCGGCCACACUGGAACUGAGACACGGUCCAG
This 241-nucleotide ribosomal RNA is filed under the name uncultured Staphylococcus sp. Its description in RNAcentral is "partial 16S ribosomal RNA". It matches the Rfam family "Bacterial small subunit ribosomal RNA", at positions 99 to 334 of the family's 1533-position model. Lineage: Bacteria; Bacillati; Bacillota; Bacilli; Caryophanales; Staphylococcaceae. The record is from RNAcentral.